This 480-nucleotide ribosomal RNA is filed under the name uncultured bacterium. Its description in RNAcentral is "bacterial SSU rRNA". It matches the Rfam family "Bacterial small subunit ribosomal RNA", at positions 28 to 507 of the family's 1533-position model. The record is from RNAcentral.
GAUGAACGCUAGCUACAGGCUUAACACAUGCAAGUCGAGGGGAAACGACAUUGGAAGCUUGCUUCCGAUGGGCGUCGACCGGCGCACGGGUGAGUAACGCGUAUCCAACCUGCCCACCACUUGGGGGAUAACCUUGCGAAAGUAAGACUAAUACCCAAUGACGUCCAUAGAAGACAUCUGAAGUGGAUUAAAGAUUUAUCGGUGAUGGAUGGGGAUGCGUCUGAUUAGCUUGUUGGCGGGGUAACGGCCCACCAAGGCAACGAUCAGUAGGGGUUCUGAGAGGAAGGUCCCCCCACAUUGGAACUGAGACACGGUCCAAACUCCUACGGGAGGCAGCAGUGAGGAAUAUUGGUCAAUGGGCGCGAGCCUGACCCAGCGACGCCGCGUGAGGGAAGAAGGGCCCUUCGGGUUGGUAAACCUUCUGUUGCAGGGGAAGAAGACAUGACGGUACCCUGCGAGGAAGCUCCGGCUAACUACGUG